This 1786-nucleotide long non-coding RNA is filed under the name Equus caballus (horse). RNAcentral describes it as "lncRNA (ENSECAG00000029164.3)". Lineage: Eukaryota; Metazoa; Chordata; Mammalia; Perissodactyla; Equidae. The record is from RNAcentral.
GGUUGAUCUACAGGGAGCUAUGAGGAGUUAAAGCCUGAAGGCAGCAAGACAGAGAGACCAGGGCCAAGGGGCAAAUGCAAAACGCUGCUCUCCGGGCCAGCGCAGCCUGGGGAGGUUCUGAGUGGUCAUCAUGUGGCCCUUCCGCUCUCCCCGCAACUUUCAGGGGUGCUGCUGGCUGUCGGCUUGGCAACUGCGCUGCUGACAGGCCUGGGCCUUGUGCUGAGCCCCCCGCUGGCCCAGACCUGCCCAGUCAGAGCUUGGAGACUCCGGGGGAGGGGCCUCAGGGAGCCUCACGUGCCUGCUGACUGCGUGCCUCUCGGGGACAGCCUUACCGUCCGUGAAGACCUCGGUCCUCAGGGCUCUGGGGAAGGAGCCAGCUGCAGGCAGAGAGCCGUUCCCCGGGACACAGGUACCACGCCGGCGUGCAGGGAGCCACACCCUGUGAACACCCUAGAGGACUUCAGCGUCCGCACACUCUAUGACAAGCUUGAGGACCAGAGCCUGCACUUGGUGGCCCAGCUGAGCAAGCACAGGAGCGACGCACUGGCCUUCUACAGGGGCGCCAGCCAGCAACUCCAGGGGCUCAAGGACUUUCUGCAGGGCGUCAGCAUGACCGAGCGGCAAGAUCUGGGCAGAGGUGGAGACCUGGAGAUGGGAGCCAAAGCCACUGCCAGGACAGACACUGGGCAGAGAGAGGAAUGGUGCAGUGGUCACACUGCAGCUUCUCCAAGGGUGCGCUGGCAGCAUCCUCUAGGUGACUCUAGAGCUUUUCCUGGUUGUCGAGGCUUCUUCCUGCAGGACGUGGGGGUUGAGCUUCACUGCAGGGAAGCACGUGUUCAGUGCCCAUUGGGGCUCCCAAAGUGUGGCAGGACGGGGAUGGUGUGGAAGGACAUCCCUGGCCGCCUGCAUGCUUUCUGGCUUCAGCCAAACUCAAAGAUUACAGAGUCCAAAACCACGCAUCACCCUGGGCAGUUCUGGCGGACGACAGCUGUGGGUGUGCAGGCCCCCAGCUACCCCUAAAUGGCCCUCAUGUCCACAUGUUUGGGCCACAGAACAAAGCACAGCUCCGACUGCCAUUGAGGGUGACCCUGCCUUCAUGUUGUAAGUGGUCUGAGUCCGUCACCCCACUUUGCUUCUGGCCCCUCUCCCACCCUGUGAGUGCCCAGCAGGGGCCAGCCUGGGGAGGGAAGGGCGUCCGCAGCUGCUGUGUGCAAGGCCGUGUCAUAGUCCCCGCAGGCAGGGAAGUCCAGGACUUAGGGCUCUGUGGUCCCCUCACCCAGCAACUCUGACCAGCCAGUCCCACCCUCAGCUCUCGCUGGCAGUGGCUGCACGCUGCCGGAGACUCUGCAAGCCCCUCCUGUGCUCUGAGACAGGGGGAGUGUUCGUGCCUCCCUGGCCAGGAUCUGUGGGCGCUCGAGGAGGCUGUUCCCUUCUAGGAACAAACAGCCGUGGGCUCAGCAAGGACUCCCCAGCCCCAUAGCGUGAUCCGUGAAGGCCUAACCUCAAGGCAGGAAAAUCCAAGGUCGUUGCCGCAGGUCAUCCAUGUUUGAAUCCACACCUCAGCAUAAAAACAGCUGAUCUUCCGUCUCCUGGAGCAGCUUGUCAGACAGCAGAUUGUUGGCUUCUUAGAAACCAGUGGGUUGCAAUUAGCAUUAAAAAAAUAAACUAGAAAGGAAUAAAAUUGAAACUAUUGGAAGUAACACAUGUAUAAAGCUAGUCUUGCUUCCCGCAGCUCUCCUUGCUGUUUACACACACACACAGGAGGGUAGGAGCGAUGAAGUCUUAG